CUACGGGGCGCACCAGUGGGGAAUAUUGCACAAUGGAGGAAACUCUGAUGCAGCAACGCCGCGUGGAGGAUGACACUUUUCGGAGCGUAAACUCCUUUUAUAUAGGAAGAAGAUGACGGUACUAUAUGAAUAAGCGCCGGCUAACUCCGUGCCAGCAGCCGCGGUAAUACGGAGGGCGCAAGCGUUACUCGGAAUCACUGGGCGUAAAGGGCGUGUAGGCGGAUUAAAAAGUCAGAAGUGAAAUCCUAUAGCUUAACUAUAGAACUGCUUCUGAAACUCUUAAUCUAGAAUAUGGGAGAGGUAGAUGGAAUUUCUGGUGUAGGGGUAAGAUCCGUAGAGAUCAGAAGGAAUACCGAUUGCGAAGGCGAUCUACUAGAACAUUAUUGACGCUGAGACGCGAAAGCGUGGGGAGCAAACAGGAUUAGAUACCCUAGUAGUC
Molecule: ribosomal RNA, 439 nt
Filed under: uncultured bacterium
Lineage: Bacteria
Description: partial 16S ribosomal RNA
Rfam family: Bacterial small subunit ribosomal RNA
Source: RNAcentral